GUCUCCUUAGUUCACCCGGUUAGAACAGCCGCCUUUCAAGCAGCAGAAACGAGUUCGAGACUCGUAGGAGAUGCCA
This 76-nucleotide transfer RNA is filed under the name Sulfitobacter litoralis. Its description in RNAcentral is "tRNA-Glu". It matches the Rfam family "tRNA". Rfam says of the family: Transfer RNA (tRNA) molecules are approximately 80 nucleotides in length. Their secondary structure includes four short double-helical elements and three loops (D, anti-codon, and T loops). The record is from RNAcentral. RNAcentral also lists the same sequence under 2 other names. Lineage: Bacteria; Pseudomonadati; Pseudomonadota; Alphaproteobacteria; Rhodobacterales; Roseobacteraceae.